Molecule: ribosomal RNA, 119 nt
Filed under: Ceratobasidium cereale
Lineage: Eukaryota; Fungi; Basidiomycota; Agaricomycetes; Cantharellales; Ceratobasidiaceae
Description: partial 18S ribosomal RNA
Source: RNAcentral
GCUUGGAGGACUUUAUUGGACUCCUUCUGUCUACUUAAUCCACACAAACUCAAUUUAUUUUAAACUGAAUGUAUUUUGAUGUAACGCAUCUAAUACUAAGUUUCAACAACGGAUCUCUU